This 440-nucleotide ribosomal RNA is filed under the name uncultured bacterium. RNAcentral's name for it is "partial 16S ribosomal RNA". It matches the Rfam family "Bacterial small subunit ribosomal RNA", at positions 338 to 795 of the family's 1533-position model. The record is from RNAcentral.
CCUACGGGGGGCAGCAGUGGGGGAUAUUGCACAAUGGGGGGAACCCUGAUGCAGCGACGCCGCGUGGGUGAAGAAGCGCCUCGGCGCGUAAAGCCCUGUCAGCAGGGAAGAAAAUGACGGUACCUGAAGAAGAAGCCCCGGCUAACUACGUGCCAGCAGCCGCGGGAAUACGUAGGGGGCAAGCGUUAGCCGGAUUUACUGGGUGUAAAGGGGGCGCAGACGGCGAUGCAAGCCAGGAGUGAAAGCCCGGGGCCCAACCCCGGGACUGCUCUUGGAACUGCGUGGCUGGAGUGCAGGAGGGGCAGGCGGAAUUCCUGGUGUAGCGGUGAAAUGCGUAGAUAUCAGGAGGAACACCGGUGGCGAAGGCGGCCUGCUGGACUGCAACUGACGUUGAGGCCCGAAAGCGUGGGGAGCAAACAGGAUUAGAUACCCGGGUAGUC